AACGAACGCUGGCGGCGUGCUUAACACAUGCAAGUCGAACGGCAACGCCCCUUUAGGUGUCCUCGAGUGGCGGACGGGGGAGUAACACGGGAGUAACCUGCCCUUUCCUUCUGGAUAACGUCAGGAACCUGGGGCUAAUACCGCUUAUGCAUCCUUGCUCCAUGGGGGGGGAUGGAAAGCUUCGGCGGUUUUGGAUGGACUAGCGGCGUAUCGGCUUGUUGGUGGGGUAGUGGCUUACCGAGGCGUUGACGGGUAGCCGGCCUGAGAGGGUGACCGGCCACAUUGGGACUGAGAUGCGGCACAGACGCCGACGGGAGGCAGCAGUGGGGAAUAUUGCACAAUGGGCAGAAGCCUGAUGCAGCAACGCCGCGUGCGGGAUGACGGCCUUCUGGUUGUAAACCGCUUUCAGCAGGGGCGAAGCUUGUGGUGACGGUACCUGAAGAAGAAGCACCGGCUAACUACGUG
RNAcentral lists this ribosomal RNA (465 nucleotides) under uncultured bacterium. Its description in RNAcentral is "partial 16S ribosomal RNA". It matches the Rfam family "Bacterial small subunit ribosomal RNA", at positions 28 to 507 of the family's 1533-position model. The record is from RNAcentral.